This 683-nucleotide ribosomal RNA is filed under the name uncultured fungus. RNAcentral describes it as "eukaryotic LSU rRNA". The stretch from base 297 to 450 matches the Rfam family "5.8S ribosomal RNA". Lineage: Eukaryota; Fungi. The record is from RNAcentral.
AUUGGAAGUAAAAGUCGUAACAAGGUUUCCGUAGGUGAACCUGCGGAAGGAUCAUUAUUGAAUGAACUUGACUUGGUUGCUGCUGGUCUUUUCAAAGGCAUGUGCACACCUUGUCAUCUUUAUAUCUCCACCUGUGCACCUUUUGUAGACCUGGAUUCAACAUUCCGAGGCAACUCGGUCGUGAGGAAUUGCUUCACAGCUUUCCUUGUAAGUUUCCAGGCCUAUGUUUUUCAUAUACACCAUAAGAAUGUAACAGAAUGUCAUUAUUAGACUUCAUUGUCUUAUAAACUAUAUACAACUUUCAGCAACGGAUCUCUUGGCUCUCGCAUCGAUGAAGAACGCAGCGAAAUGCGAUAAGUAAUGUGAAUUGCAGAAUUCAGUGAAUCAUCGAAUCUUUGAACGCACCUUGCGCUCCUUGGUAUUCCGAGGAGCAUGCCUGUUUGAGUGUCAUUAAAUUCUCAACCUUUGUCAACUUUUUUGGUUGACCAAUGGCUUGGAUGUGGGGGUCUUGCAGGUUUCUCUUUUGAAAUCAGCUCCCCUGAAAUGUAUUAGCUGGUUGCGUUGUGUAGACCUGUCUAUUGGUGUGAUAAUUAUCUACGCCGUGGACUGUUUGCCAUUUUAGCACUGCUUCUAACUGUCUGUUCAUUCAGACGAUAUAUGACAAUUGACCUCAAAUCAGGUAG